GGAGACGUGGCUGAGUGGUUGAAGGCACCGGUUUCGAAAACCGGCAUCUGGGAAACCGGAUCGGAGGUUCGAAUCCUCCCGUCUCCGCCA
RNAcentral lists this transfer RNA (90 nucleotides) under Candidatus Campbelliibacteriota bacterium. Its description in RNAcentral is "Candidatus Campbellbacteria bacterium tRNA-Ser". It matches the Rfam family "tRNA". From Rfam's summary of the family: Transfer RNA (tRNA) molecules are approximately 80 nucleotides in length. Their secondary structure includes four short double-helical elements and three loops (D, anti-codon, and T loops). Lineage: Bacteria; Candidatus Campbelliibacteriota. The record is from RNAcentral.